UACGUAGGGUGCAAGCGUUAAUCGGAAUUACUGGGCGUAAAGUGUGCGCAGGCGGCCGCGCAAGUCGAGUGUGAAAGCCCCGGGCUUAACUUGGGAAUUGCGCUCGAAACUACGUGGCUGGAGUAUGGCAGAGGAAGGUGGAAUUCCACGUGUAGCGGUGAAAUGCGUAGAGAUGUGGAGGAACACCGAUGGCGAAGGCAGCCUUCUGGGCCAAUACUGACGCUCAUGCACGAAAGCGUGGGGAGCAAACAGG
Molecule: ribosomal RNA, 253 nt
Filed under: uncultured bacterium
Lineage: Bacteria
Description: partial 16S ribosomal RNA
Rfam family: Bacterial small subunit ribosomal RNA
Source: RNAcentral